Molecule: long non-coding RNA, 1914 nt
Filed under: Lactuca sativa (garden lettuce)
Lineage: Eukaryota; Viridiplantae; Streptophyta; Magnoliopsida; Asterales; Asteraceae
Description: long non-coding RNA (LSAT_LNC006215)
Source: RNAcentral
GUUAUAGUCUUAAGUAGUUGUGAUUAGGUUCCUUCUCUUCUCUGAAGCUCCGAUAUUCUGUUCUCCUGAAAACUGAAAAAUAUAUACAUGGAGUAAUGAAUUAAUCAGUCAUGAUGAGCUUUAGUUUUAGUUUGAGCGUUCAAGGCUACUGGUCUGGAAAACCAUGAACUUUCCCUGUGAAUACUUACAGGUGGCAGUAACCACUGAACUACACAGAAGUUGGACAAUGCAGCCUUUGCAUUUUACAAAUUCUUUUAGUUUCAAUCUUUGAGUGUUUUACUUUUUUGUGAUCUGAAAGCACAUAAUGAUGGCUAAUUUGCAUUACUGUCAGCUAGUCGAUUUGAUGAAAAUCUUUUUUUCUGCAUUCCAGGAUAAGAGAAAAGAUGCUGUUAAAAAGACAAUUGCAGCUAUGACAGUUGGGAAGGAUGUAUCAUCACUUUUCACAGAUGUCUUGAACUGUAUGCAGACUGAAAAUUUGGAGCUCAAAAAGCUUGUUUACUUGUAUCUCAUCAAUUAUGCUAAAAGUCAACCCGACCUAGCAAUACUUGCAGUUAAUACCUUCGUGAAGGUAUAAACUAGUAUAAACUCACUUUUCACAUCCACAUAAUUGUUCCCCAUUAAAGACACUGAUUUUGUUUUUUUACAUGUAACAGGAUACACAAGACCCAAAUCCUUUAAUCCGGGCUUUAGCUGUUCGAACAAUGGGAUGCAUCCGAGUUGAUAAAAUCACAGAAUAUCUUUGUGACCCCCUCCAGAGGUGUCUCAAGGUUAACAUCGCCUUUAUUUCAUGUUUUGAUCUUCAGUAAUCAAUCAACUACAAAUAUAUUAAGAUGAUUUAAAAUUGUCUUCAACAGGAUGACGACCCAUAUGUUCGAAAAACAGCAGCUAUAUGUGUUGCUAAACUUUAUGACAUCAAUGCUGAGUUAGUUGAAGAUAGAGGUUUUCUUGAUGCCCUAAAAGAUCUCAUAUCUGACAAUAACCCUAUGGUAGUAGCAAAUGCUGUUGCAGCUCUUGCUGAAAUUCAAGAUAACAGCAGUACACCCAUUUUUGAGAUCACUAGCCAGACCUUGUCAAAGCUCCUUACAGCUCUAAACGAAUGCACUGAGUGAGUAUGCUAUUAAAGUCAUUUACUNUUGCAGCUAUGACAGUUGGGAAGGAUGUAUCAUCACUUUUCACAGAUGUCUUGAACUGUAUGCAGACUGAAAAUUUGGAGCUCAAAAAGCUUGUUUACUUGUAUCUCAUCAAUUAUGCUAAAAGUCAACCCGACCUAGCAAUACUUGCAGUUAAUACCUUCGUGAAGGUAUAAACUAGUAUAAACUCACUUUUCACAUCCACAUAAUUGUUCCCCAUUAAAGACACUGAUUUUGUUUUUUUACAUGUAACAGGAUACACAAGACCCAAAUCCUUUAAUCCGGGCUUUAGCUGUUCGAACAAUGGGAUGCAUCCGAGUUGAUAAAAUCACAGAAUAUCUUUGUGACCCCCUCCAGAGGUGUCUCAAGGUUAACAUCGCCUUUAUUUCAUGUUUUGAUCUUCAGUAAUCAAUCAACUACAAAUAUAUUAAGAUGAUUUAAAAUUGUCUUCAACAGGAUGACGACCCAUAUGUUCGAAAAACAGCAGCUAUAUGUGUUGCUAAACUUUAUGACAUCAAUGCUGAGUUAGUUGAAGAUAGAGGUUUUCUUGAUGCCCUAAAAGAUCUCAUAUCUGACAAUAACCCUAUGGUAGUAGCAAAUGCUGUUGCAGCUCUUGCUGAAAUUCAAGAUAACAGCAGUACACCCAUUUUUGAGAUCACUAGCCAGACCUUGUCAAAGCUCCUUACAGCUCUAAACGAAUGCACUGAGUGAGUAUGCUAUUAAAGUCAUUUACUAUUUAUCUACUAAUUUGUGGUAUUAAAGUCAAUUUUGACAUUAUUCAGGU